This 252-nucleotide ribosomal RNA is filed under the name uncultured bacterium. RNAcentral describes it as "partial 16S ribosomal RNA". It matches the Rfam family "Bacterial small subunit ribosomal RNA", at positions 524 to 776 of the family's 1533-position model. The record is from RNAcentral.
UACGGGGGGGCAAGCGUUGUUCGGAAUUACUGGGCGUAAAGCGUACGUAGGCGGCUUUGUAAGUUAGAGGUGAAAGCCCGGGGCUCAACUCCGGAACUGCCUUUAAGACUGCAUCGCUAGAAUCCGGGAGAGGUGAGUGGAAUUCCGAGUGUAGAGGUGAAAUUCGUAGAUAUUCGGAAGAACACCAGUGGCGAAGGCGGCUCACUGGACCGGCAUUGACGCUGAGGUACGAAAGCGUGGGGAGCAAACAGG